Molecule: ribosomal RNA, 367 nt
Filed under: uncultured bacterium
Lineage: Bacteria
Description: bacterial SSU rRNA
Rfam family: Bacterial small subunit ribosomal RNA
Source: RNAcentral
UACGUAGGUGGCAAGCGUUAUCCGGAAUUAUUGGGCGUAAAGGGUGCGUAGGUGGUUUAUUAAGUCUGAGGUGAAAGUGCGGGGCUCAACUCCGUAUUGCCUCAGAAACUGGUAGACUCGAGUGUAAGAGGGGGCAAUGGAAUUCCAUGUGUAGCGGUAAAAUGCGUAGAUAUAUGGAGGAACACCAGUGGCGAAGGCGGUUGCCUGGCUUAUAACUGACACUGAUGCACGAAAGCGUGGGGAGCAAAUAGGAUUAGAUACCCUAGUAGUCCACGCCGUAAACGAUGAAUACUAAGUAUUGGGGAAACUCAGUGCUGCAGCUAACGCAAUAAGUAUUCCGCCUGGGGAGUAUGCACGCAAGUGUGAA